GGUGGGGUCAUGCAUGGAUUAAUUUGGUCAAUCUGAGGGGGCGGGGCCAUACAAGUUAUGGUGAUCAGUUUGAGGGGCUACGGCCAUGCAUAGAUCACUAUGUUCAGUGUGCGGGGGCAGGAAAAUGUAGAGAUAAGGCUCUCCAGCCUGAAUAAAGCAAUCCUGGAGCAUGUGUUCUGAUUAGCCAGCAGCAAACAUUGUAGGUAGG
Molecule: non-coding RNA, 208 nt
Organism: Pelobates cultripes (western spadefoot toad)
Lineage: Eukaryota; Metazoa; Chordata; Amphibia; Anura; Pelobatidae
Source: the annotation of a GenBank genome assembly